CCCUUAGAUGUUCUGGGCCGCACGCGCGCUACACUGAUGCAUUCAACGAGCCUAUCCUUGACCGACAGGUCCGGGUAAUCUUGAAUCUGCAUCGUGACGGGGAUAGAUUAUUGCAAUUAUUAAUCUUCAACGAGGAAUGCCUAGUAGGCGCAAGUCAUCAGCUUGCGUCGAUUACGUCCCUGCCCUUUGUACACACCGCCCGUCGCUCCUACCGAUUGGGUGUGCUGGUGAAAUGUUCGGAUCGGCCGUUUGUCGCGGUUUCCGCGUCAUGUGGCUGAGAAGUUCAUUAAACCCUCCCACCUAGAGGAAGGAGAAGUCGUAACA
This 324-nucleotide ribosomal RNA is filed under the name uncultured eukaryote. RNAcentral describes it as "partial 18S ribosomal RNA". It matches the Rfam family "Eukaryotic small subunit ribosomal RNA", at positions 1470 to 1796 of the family's 1831-position model. The record is from RNAcentral.